Molecule: ribosomal RNA, 152 nt
Filed under: uncultured bacterium
Lineage: Bacteria
Description: partial 16S ribosomal RNA
Rfam family: Bacterial small subunit ribosomal RNA
Source: RNAcentral
CCUACGGGAGGCAGCAGUAGGGAAUCUUGCGCAAUGGGCGAAAGCCUGACGCAGCCAUGCCGCGUGAAUGAUGAAGGUCUUAGGAUUGUAAAAUUCUUUCACCGGGGAAGAUAAUGACGGUACCCGGAGAAGAAGCCCCGGCUAACUUCGUG